Molecule: long non-coding RNA, 269 nt
Organism: Mustela lutreola (European mink)
Lineage: Eukaryota; Metazoa; Chordata; Mammalia; Carnivora; Mustelidae
Exons: 3
Source: RefSeq, a predicted model, not a curated record
GGGUGGGGAUGGGCGGGGGGCUCAGCAGUUUCUCCUCCUUCGACACCGCGCCAGGGAAUGAAGAGUUUGAGGACUUAAGAGUUUUAAAAGUCUAAAAACCGGGGACAGGCGAGAGAAAGGAUUAGAGCAACAGAUUGAUUGAUUGCCUCGAAAUAGAGCUCUAUUCCAGCCAGCAAACUAGGCCGAGGUCCGCCUCCUGGAGCCAGCUCUCCCAAGUCACUCUUGGACCUGCAGGAGACGCAAAUCCUCCCAGCAGGUCUCAUUAGCGU